RNAcentral lists this ribosomal RNA (773 nucleotides) under uncultured bacterium. RNAcentral describes it as "bacterial SSU rRNA". It matches the Rfam family "Bacterial small subunit ribosomal RNA", at positions 124 to 903 of the family's 1533-position model. The record is from RNAcentral.
ACCUACCUUAUAUUGGGGGAUAGCCCAGAGAAAUUUGGAUUAAUACCCCAUGGUAUGCUAGAGUGGCAUCACUUUAGUAUUAAAGAUUUAUCGAUAUAAGAUGGCUAUGCGUUCUAUUAGCUAGUUGGUAAGGUAACGGCUCACCAAGGCGACGAUAGAUAGGGGUCCUGAGAGGGAGAUCCCCCACACUGGUACUGAGACACGGACCAGACUCCUACGGGAGGCAGCAGUGAGGAAUAUUGGACAAUGGAGGCAACUCUGAUCCAGCCAUGCCGCGUGCAGGAAGACUGCCCUAUGGUUGUAAACUGCUUUUAUAGAGGAAGAAACCGCUCUACGUGUAGAGCUCUGACGGUACUCUACGAAUAAGGAUCGGCUAACUCCGUGCCAGCAGCCGCGGUAAUACGGAGGAUCCAAGCGUUAUCCGGAAUCAUUGGGUUUAAAGGGUCCGUAGCGGGCUUAUAAGUCAGUGGUGAAAGUUUGCGGCUCAACCGUAAAAUUGCCAUUGAUACUGUAGGUCUUGAAUCAUUGUGAAGUGGUUAGAAUGUGUAGUGUAGCGGUGAAAUGCAUAGAUAUUACACAGAAUACCGAUUGCGAAGCAGAUCACUAACAAUUGAUUGACGCUCAGGGACGAAAGCGUGGGUAGCGAACAGGAUUAGAUACCCUGGUAGUCCACGCCGUAACGAUGGUUACUAGCUGUUUGGACUUCGGUCUGAGUGGCUAAGCGAAAGUGAUAAGUAACCCACCUGGGAGUACGUUCGCAAGAAUGAAACUCA